This 255-nucleotide ribosomal RNA is filed under the name uncultured bacterium. RNAcentral's name for it is "partial 16S ribosomal RNA". It matches the Rfam family "Bacterial small subunit ribosomal RNA", at positions 524 to 776 of the family's 1533-position model. The record is from RNAcentral.
UACGUAGGGCGCAAGCGUUGUCCGGAAUUAUUGGGCGUAAAGAGCUCGUAGGCGGCUUGUCACGUCGGGUGUGAAAGCCCGGGGCUUAACCCCGGGUCUGCAUUCGAUACGGGCUAGCUAGAGUGUGGUAGGGGAGAUCGGAAUUCCUGGUGGUAGCGGUGAAAAUGCGCAGAUAUCAGGAGGAACACCGGUGGCGAAGGCGGAUCUCUGGGCCAUUACUGACGCUGAGGAGCGAAAGCGUGGGGAGCGAACAGG